GAAGAAAUCACAUCAACAUGACCAUGCGCCUGCAAUUGAUUUUGGCAGGUAUUCCAAUCAUGAGCGACAGAGAGAGAGAGAGAGAAAGAGAGAGAGAGAGAGAGAGAGAUCAACCAUUUCCAGGCCCAGGGACAUGUACCAGUCUGUGGCGACCUAAAUGCGAGAAUUGGACAAGAACCUGACACCCUCAGCACACAGGGGGACAAACACCUACCUGGAGGUGACAGCAUUCCCUCCCCCAUAUGCUCCUCUCGACACAACUAUAAGAAAACCACCAAAAACAGGACCUGAGCCCUAGGACCAUGCCUCAGGACUACCUGGCUUGAUGACUCCUUGCUGUCCCCAGUUCACCUGGCCGUGCUGCUGCUCCAGUUCCAACUGUUCUGCCUGCGGCUAUAGAGCCCUGACCUGUUCACUGGACGCGCUACCUGUCCCAGACCUGCUGUCCCAGACCUGCUGGAACCCUGACCUGUUCACCGGACGUGCUACCUGUCCCAGACCUGCUGUUUUCAACUCUCUAGAGACAGCAGGAGCGGUAGAGAUACUCUCAAAGAUCGGCUAUGAAAAAGCCAACUGACACUUAGUCUUGUGUUACUAACUUGUUGCACCCUCGACAACUACUAUGAUUAUUAUUAUUUGACCAUGCUGGUCAUUUAUGAACAUUUGAACAUCUUGGCCAUGUUCUGUUAUAAUCUCCACCCGGCACAGCCAGAAGAGGACUGGCCACCCCUCAUAGCCUGGUUCCUCUCUAGGUUUCUUCCUAGGUUUUGGCCUUUCUAGGGAGUUUUUCCUAGCCACCGUGCUUCUACACCUGCAUUGCUUUCUGUUUGGGGUUUUAGGCUGGGUUUCUGUACAGCACUUUGAGAUAUCAGCUAAUGUAAGAAGGGCUAUAUAAAAACAUUUGAUUUGAUUUGAUAUUAAAAUAUGCAGGACAGGUUUCCCUUGUAAAAUAGGUAUUUUGACCUCAAUCGGACUUCCUGGCUAAAUACAAAUAACACUUCCACACUACUUUAUAAAACAAUUUAUUUUAAAUUUAAUUUCAAUUGCACUGCAUGAUUGAGAUCAAUCUUCUGCCACCAAAUUAAAUGUGGCUGUUAUAAAGAACACAUAUCAUUUCAGUUAAAUCAGAAAUCAGUUAAUAAGUAAUUAGUCAUUAGUAAUAAUUUUAAGUCAGUUAAUAAGUCAUUAGUCAUUAACUGACUUAAAAUUAUUACUAAUAAGUAAUUAGUCAUUAGUAAUAAUUGGGGAGAUCAAAAUCAAUAAUAAAGUCAAGAUCAAUAUGAUUAGAAAUUCUCCUUAAAACAUUCAGAAUCCUAAUGACUAUUGAAACAAACCCUGCAGACAGACACAAGUUGAAGCGAUGGGUGUGUGUUUAGUAGCGUAGACUAGAGAUGGGUCGUCGAGGAACAGGCUUCUGCGUGGCCAAAUUAUCUAGUUUAAGGUCAACCUUUCUGAGCAGGGAGAGACAGCGCGCGCGUGCGCGGACACACACGCACACACACGCGCGCACACACACACACACACACACACACACAC
RNAcentral lists this long non-coding RNA (1536 nucleotides) under Salmo salar (Atlantic salmon). RNAcentral describes it as "lncRNA (ENSSSAG00000100314.1)". The record is from RNAcentral. Lineage: Eukaryota; Metazoa; Chordata; Actinopteri; Salmoniformes; Salmonidae.